GUUUCGGUAGUGUAAUGGAUAAGCACAGCAGACCGGUUAUCUGCAAGUGCGGGUUCAAAUAACGCCUGAAGUU
This 73-nucleotide transfer RNA is filed under the name Dictyocaulus viviparus (bovine lungworm). It matches the Rfam family "tRNA". From Rfam's summary of the family: Transfer RNA (tRNA) molecules are approximately 80 nucleotides in length. The record is from Rfam by way of RNAcentral. Lineage: Eukaryota; Metazoa; Nematoda; Chromadorea; Rhabditida; Metastrongylidae.